This 31-nucleotide non-coding RNA is filed under the name Homo sapiens (human). The record is from RNAcentral. Lineage: Eukaryota; Metazoa; Chordata; Mammalia; Primates; Hominidae.
UUGCCUUAGAGUGACAUGGAUCAGUCAGUGC